Molecule: long non-coding RNA, 2599 nt
Organism: Anopheles funestus (African malaria mosquito)
Lineage: Eukaryota; Metazoa; Arthropoda; Insecta; Diptera; Culicidae
Exons: 4
Source: RefSeq, a predicted model, not a curated record
AAGAAAAUGUAGCCAUUGGUGCCAUCUAUCGACCACAGGUUAAAGAUUGGCGAUUCGUUGGAUACCGACCGAGUUAUAGGCAAAAGUUGGUGCAAAAAUGAGGAAAAUUUUCAUUUUUUUGUUGAUUUUUUUGAUUUUUUUAUUAUUUUUCACUCUUUUUUUAUUUCAAGCAUUAUUAGAGUGAAAAAAAAACUCAUUGCAACCCAUUGGCAUUAAAAUAAAACAAUUUAAUUUUUUUUGCAAAAUUUCCCAAAAAAAUCGUAAGGGGUAAGCCUUAUGAAAUUUUCGAGUGAAAAAUUUUUUUGAAAUUUUUUUCUGAUUUUUUAUUUUUUUUUUAAUUUAAAGCACUAUUUAAGUGAAAAGAAACUCAUUGCAACAAAUUCCCAUCAAAAUAUAUCACAUUUAAAAUUUUUGCUACAUUGCUCAAAAAUGAGGAAAAUUUUACAUUUUCUCAAACAGGGUAAGGAACUUGGUUCCUCGACUAACUUCUGGCACAGACAUCUGAGGGCAUGGCUGUCCAAGAAGAAAAUGUAGCCAUUGGUGCCAUCAAUCGACCACUGGUUAAAGUGUGGCGAUCCGUUGGAUACCGACCGAGUUAUAGGCAAAAGUUGGUGCAGAAAUGAGGAAAAUUUUACAUUUUCUCAAACAGGGUAUGGAACUUGGUUCUUCGAAUAACUUCUGGCACAGACAUCUGAGGGCAUGGCCGUCCAAGAAGAAAAUGUAGCCAUUGGUGCCAUCUAUCGACCACAGGUUAAAGAUUGGCGAUUCGUUGGAUACCGACCGAGUUAUAGGCAAAAGUUGGUGCAAAAAUGAGGAAAAUUUUCAUUUUUUUGUUGAUUUUUUUUAUUUUUUUAUUAUUUUUCACUCUUUUUUUAUUUCAAGCAUUAUUAGAGUGAAAAAAAACUCAUUGCAACCCAUUGGCAUUAAAAUAAAACAAUUUAAUUUUUUUUGCAAAAUUUCCCAAAAAAAUCGUAAGGGGUAAGCCUUAUGAAAUUUUCGAGUGAAAAAUUUUUUUGAAAUUUUUUUCUGAUUUUUUAUUUUUUUUUUAAUUUAAAGCACUAUUUAAGUGAAAAGAAACUCAUUGCAACAAAUUCCCAUCAAAAUAUAUCACAUUUAAAAUUUUUGCUACAUUGCUCAAAAAUGAGGAAAAUUUUACAUUUUCUCAAACAGGGUAAGGAACUUGGUUCCUCGACUAACUUCUGGCACAGACAUCUGAGGGCAUGGCUGUCCAAGAAGAAAAUGUAGCCAUUGGUGCCAUCUAUCGACCACUGGUUAAAGUGUGGCGAUCCGUUGGAUACCGACCGAGUUAUAGGCAAAAGUUGGUGCAGAAAUGAGGAAAAUUUUACAUUUUCUCAAACAGGGUAUGGAACUUGGUUCUUCGAAUAACUUCUGGCACAGACAUCUGAGGGCAUGGCCGUCCAAGAAGAAAAUGUAGCCAUUGGUGCCAUCUAUCGACCACAGGUUAAAGAUUGACGAUCCGUUGGAUACCGACCGAGUUAUAGGCAAAAGUUGGUGCAAAAAUGAGGAAAAUUUUCAUUUUUUUGUAAAUUUUUUUGAUUUUUUUAUUAUUUUUCACUCUUUUUUUUAUUUCAAGCAUUAUUAGAGUGAAAAGAAACUCAUUGCAACCCAUUGGCAUUGAAAUAAAACAAUUUAAUUUUUUUUGCAAAAUUUCCCAAAAAAAUCGUAAGGGGUAAGCCUUAUGAAAUUUACAAGUGAAAAAUUUUUUUGAAAUUUUUUUCUGAUUUUUUAUUCUUUUUUUAAUUUAAAGCACUAUUUAAGUGAAAAGAAACUUAUUGCAACAAAUUCCCAUCAAAAUAUAUCACAUUUAAAAUUUUUGCUACAUUGCUCAAAAAUGAGGAAAAUUUUACAUUUUCUCAAACAGGGUAAGGAACUUGGUUCCUCGACUAACUUCUGGCACAGACAUCUGAGGGCAUGGCUGUCCAAGAAGAAAAUGUAGCCAUUGGUGCCAUCUAUCGACCACAGGUUAAAGAUUGGCGAUCCGUUGGAUACCGUCCGAGUUAUAGGCAAAAUUUGGUGCAAAAAUGAGGAAAAUUUUCAUUUUUUUGUAAAUUUUUUUGAUUUUUUUAUUAUUUUUCACUCUUUUUUUUAUUUCAAGCAUUAUUAGAGUGAAAAGAAACUCAUUGCAACCCAUUGGCAUUAAAAUAAGACAAUUUAAUUUUUUUUGCAAAAUUUCCCAAAAAAAUCGUAAGGGGUAAGCCUUAUGAAAUUUACAAGUGAAAAAUUUUUUUGAAAUUUUUUUCUGAUUUUUUAUUCUUUUUUUCAUUUAAAGCACUAUUUAAGUGAAAAGAAACUUAUUGCAACAAAUUCCCAUCAAAAUAUAUCACAUUUCAAAUUUUUGCUACAUUGCUCAAAAAUGAGGAAAAUUUUACAUUUUCUCAAACAGGGUAAGGAACUUGGUUCCUCGACUAACUUCUGGCACAGACAUCUGAGGGCAUGGCUGUCCAAGAAGAAAAUGUAGCCAUUGGUGCCAUCUAUCGACCACAGGUUAAAGAUUGGCGAUCCGUUGGAUACCGACCGAGUUAUAGGCAAAAUUUGGUGCAAAAAUGAGGAAAAUUUUCAUUUUUUUGUUGAUUUUUUU